CCUACUGGUGGCAGCAGUGGGGAAUAUUGGGCAAUGGGCGAAAGCCUGACCCAGCAACGCCGCGUGAAGGAAGAAGGCUUUCGGGUUGUAAACUUCUUUUGACAGGGAAGAGCAGAAGACGGUACCUGUCGAAUAAGCCACGGCUAAAUACGUGCCAGCAGCCGCGGUAAUACGUAGGUGGCAAGCGUUGUCCGGAUUUACUGGGUGUAAAGGGCGUGUAGCCGGGCUGACAAGUCAGAUGUGAAAUCCGGGGGCUCAACCCCCGAACUGCAUUUGAAACUGUUGGUCUUGAGUAUCGGAGAGGCAGGCGGAAUUCCUAGUGUAGCGGUGAAAUGCUUAGAGAUCAGACAGAACACCGAUGGCGAAGGCAGCUUACCAAGCUACUUCUGACGUUGAGGCACGAAAGCGUGGGGAGCAAACAGGAUUAGAUACCCUAGUAGUC
RNAcentral lists this ribosomal RNA (442 nucleotides) under uncultured bacterium. RNAcentral's name for it is "partial 16S ribosomal RNA". It matches the Rfam family "Bacterial small subunit ribosomal RNA", at positions 338 to 795 of the family's 1533-position model. The record is from RNAcentral.